RNAcentral lists this long non-coding RNA (1339 nucleotides) under Felis catus (domestic cat). Its description in RNAcentral is "lncRNA (ENSFCAG00000051577.1)". Lineage: Eukaryota; Metazoa; Chordata; Mammalia; Carnivora; Felidae. The record is from RNAcentral.
GUGGCCAUAGGAGCACGAGAAGAAGGUGUCCCUCAGGAGGAAAAUAUGUGGGCCGUUCCUGUCAGGAGACACCAAGGUGUUGCUGAGGUUGCCGCGGGAGAAACAGAAUAUGGUGUCCCUGAGGAGGAAAAGAUGUGGGCCGUUCCUGUCAGGAGGCAGCAGGAUGUUGCUGAGGUGGCCGCGGGAGCAACGAAAUACGGUGUCCCUGUGGAGGAAAAGAUGUGGGCUUUUCCUGUAAGGACACACCAGGCUGUUGGUGAGUUUCCUGUGGUCUCUGGAACCAUGGAGAAUGAUUGGGUGUUGGAGAGCCUGUCUGACUCUGGAACCGAUGAUGAAUAGUCAUCAGAUAGGGAACUGCACUCAGGUAGGAAUCAAUGGGAGAGGGUUUCUGGGAACAGCUGGCUUAUACCUGCUGCUUUGUAGACUUAGAGUGGGAGGUAUGAAAUCAGAAAGACAAAGCAAGGAUGUGCGAAGCCUUGUGUUGUUCUUUUAAUAUAAUAGCAGCGUCUUUUAAUAGAAUAGAUGUGUUCUCCCUCUGGGCUUUGAAUGUACUCUGUCUGUAACCAGCUUUUUAAAGUUUGUUUUUUUUUUAACCAAGUUGGUUAACAUAUAGUGUAAUAAUGGUUUCAGUAAUAGAAUUUAGUGAUUUAUCACUUCCAUAGACCAAACCAUGUGGUCAUCCGCACCAAGUGCCCUCCCUAAUGCUCAUCACCUAUUUAGUACAUCCCUCUACCCAACACCCUUCCAACAACUCUCAGUGUGUGAAGAGUUAAUCAGUCACUUAUGGACUGUCUCCAUCUCUGUUUUUACCUUAUUUUUCCUUCCAUUCUCCUAUGUUCAUCUGUUUUGUUAGAUUCCACACAUGAGUGAAAUCAUAUGAUAUUUGUCUUUCUCUGACUGACUUAAUUUGCUUACCAUAACACAUUCUAGUUGCAUCCACGUUGUUGCAAAAGGCAAGAUUUCAUUCUUUUGGAUCAUGGAAUGAUAUUCUAUUCUAUGUAGAUAGAUAGAUAGAUAGAUAGAUAGAUAGAUAUAGAUAGAUAGAGAUAUAAAAAUAGGUAUCUAUAUACAGACAGAUAUAUGUAUCUAUAUAUUCCUUAUCCAUUCAUCAGUCACUGGACACCUUGGCUCCUUCCAUAAUUUGGCUAUUAUUGACAGUGCCAUUAUAAACACUGGGGUGCAUGUGCCCCUUUGAGUCAGCACUCCUGUAUCCUUUGGAUAAAUAUCUAAUCAUGCAAUUGCUAGGACGUAGGGUAGCUCUCUUUUUACUUUUUUUGCAGACCUCCAUACUAUUUUCCGGAGUGGCUGCACUAGUUUGCAUUCCCACCAACAGGGCAAA